This 484-nucleotide ribosomal RNA is filed under the name uncultured bacterium. Its description in RNAcentral is "partial 16S ribosomal RNA". It matches the Rfam family "Bacterial small subunit ribosomal RNA", at positions 30 to 507 of the family's 1533-position model. The record is from RNAcentral.
AUUGAACGCUAGCGGGAUGCUUUACACAUGCAAGUCGAACGGCAGCGCGGACUUCGGUCUGGCGGCGAGUGGCGAACGGGUGAGUAAUGUAUCGGAACGUGCCCAGUAGCGGGGGAUAACUACGCGAAAGCGUAGCUAAUACCGCAUACGCCCUACGGGGGAAAGCAGGGGAUCGUAAGACCUUGCACUAUUGGAGCGGCCGAUAUCGGAUUAGCUAGUUGGUGAGGUAACGGCUCACCAAGGCGACGAUCCGUAGCUGGUUUGAGAGGACGACCAGCCACACUCGGACUGAGACACGGCCCAGACUCCUACGGGAGGCAGCAGUGGGGAAUUUUGGACAAUGGGGGCAACCCUGAUCCAGCCAUCCCGCGUGUGCGAUGAAGGCCUUCGGGUUGUAAAGCACUUUUGGCAGGAAAGAAACGUCGCGGGCUAAUACCCCGUGGAACUGACGGUACCUGCAGAAUAAGCACCGGCUAACUACGUG